UGUCGUCAGCUCGUGUUGUGAAAUGUUGGGUUAAGUCCCGCAACGAGCGCAACCCUUAUCCUUUGUUGCCAGCGGUCCGGCCGGGAACUCAAAGGAGACUGCCAGUGAUAAACUGGAGGAAGGUGGGGAUGACGUCAAGUCAUCAUGGCCCUUACGACCAGGGCUACACACGUGCUACAAUGGCGCAUACAAAGAGAAGCGACCUCGCGAGAGCAAGCGGACCUCAUAAAGUGCGUCGUAGUCCGGAUUGGAGUCUGCAACUCGAUUCCAUGAAGUCGGAAUCGCUAGUAAUCGUGGAUCAGAAUG
RNAcentral lists this ribosomal RNA (306 nucleotides) under Escherichia coli. RNAcentral describes it as "bacterial SSU rRNA". It matches the Rfam family "Bacterial small subunit ribosomal RNA", at positions 1050 to 1356 of the family's 1533-position model. The record is from RNAcentral. Lineage: Bacteria; Pseudomonadati; Pseudomonadota; Gammaproteobacteria; Enterobacterales; Enterobacteriaceae.